This 511-nucleotide ribosomal RNA is filed under the name uncultured bacterium. Its description in RNAcentral is "bacterial SSU rRNA". It matches the Rfam family "Bacterial small subunit ribosomal RNA", at positions 28 to 527 of the family's 1533-position model. The record is from RNAcentral.
GAUGAACGCUAGCGGCAGGCUUAAUACAUGCAAGUCGAGGGGCAGCAUGGUGUAGCAAUACACUGAUGGCGACCGGCAAACGGGUGCGGAACACGUACGCAACCUUCCCAUAACUGGUGAAUAGCCCUCCGAAAGGAGGAUUAAUACACCGUAACAUAAUGAAGAGGCAUCUCUUUAUUAUUAUAGACUUCGGUCGGUUUUGGAUGGGCGUGCGCCUGAUUAGGUAGUUGGCGGGGUAACGGCCCACCAAGCCUACGAUCAGUAACUGGUGUGAGAGCACGACCAGUCACACGGGCACUGAGACACGGGCCCGACUCCUACGGGAGGCAGCAGUAAGGAAUAUUGGUCAAUGGACGAAAGUCUGAACCAGCCAUGCCGCGUGAAGGAUGAAGGCCCUCUGGGUUGUAAAACUUCUUUUAUCUGGGGACGAAAAAAAGGGGAUUCUUCCUCACUUGACGGUACCAGAGGAAUAAGCACCGGCUAACUCCGUGCCAGCAGCCGCGGUAAAGUG